GAUGAACGCUGGCGGCGUGCCUAAUACAUGCAAGUCGAGCGAACAGACGAGGAGCUUGCUCCUCUGACGUUAGCGGCGGACGGGUGAGUAACACGUGGAUAACCUACCUAUAAGACUGGGAUAACUUCGGGAAACCGGAGCUAAUACCGGAUAAUAUAUUGAACCGCAUGGUUCAAUAGUGAAAGACGGUUUUGCUGUCACUUAUAGAUGGAUCCGCGCCGCAUUAGCUAGUUGGUAAGGUAACGGCUUACCAAGGCAACGAUGCGUAGCCGAACUGAGAGGGUGAUAGGCCACACUGGAACUGAGACACGGUCAAGACUCCUACGGGAGGCAGCAGUAGGGAAUCUUCCGCAAUGGGCGAAAGCAUGACGGAGCAACGCCGCGUGAGUGAUGAAGGUCUUCGGAUCGUAAAACUCUGUUAUUAGGGAAGAACAAAUGUGUAAGUAACUAUGCACGUCUUGACGGUACCUAAUCAGAAAGCCACGGCUAACUACGUG
RNAcentral lists this ribosomal RNA (497 nucleotides) under uncultured bacterium. Its description in RNAcentral is "partial 16S ribosomal RNA". It matches the Rfam family "Bacterial small subunit ribosomal RNA", at positions 28 to 507 of the family's 1533-position model. The record is from RNAcentral.